GCGAAAACUUUACACUGCGCGAAAGCGCGAUAAGGGGACCUCGAGUGCGUGCGCAAUGCGUACGCUUUUCAGAUGCCUAAAAAGCAUGUGGAGUAAGGGCCGGGCAAGACCGGUGCCAGCCGCCGCGGUAACACCGGCGGCUCAAGUGGUGGCCGCUAUUAUUGGGCUUAAAGGGUCCGUAGCCGGACCAGUUAGUCCCUUGGGAAAUCUUACGGCUUAACCGUAAGGCUGCCAAUGGAUACUGCUGGUCUUGGGACCGGGAGAGGUAAGAGGUACUUCAGGGGUAGGAGUGAAAUCCUGUAAUCCUUGAGGGACCGCCAGUGGCGGAGGCGUCUUACUAGAACGGGUCCGACGGUGAGGGACGAAAGCUAGGGGCACGAACCGGAUUAGAUACCCGGGUAGUCCCAGCCGUAAACGAUGCGCGUUAGGUGUAUCGGUGACCACGAGUCACCGAGGUGCCGAAGAGAAAUCGUGAAACGUGCCGCCUGGGAAGUACGGUCGCAAGGCUGAAACU
This 514-nucleotide ribosomal RNA is filed under the name uncultured archaeon. RNAcentral describes it as "bacterial SSU rRNA". It matches the Rfam family "Archaeal small subunit ribosomal RNA", at positions 341 to 856 of the family's 1478-position model. The record is from RNAcentral.